GACGAACGCUGGCGGCGUGCUUAACACAUGCAAGUCGAACGGAAAGGCCCUGCUUUUGUGGGGUGCUCGAGUGGCGAACGGGUGAGUAACACGUGAGUAACCUGCCCUUGACUUUGGGAUAACUUCAGGAAACUGGGGCUAAUACCGGAUAGGAGCUCCUGCUGCAUGGUGGGGGUUGGAAAGUGUCGGCGGGUGGGGAUGGACUCGCGGCUUAUCAGCUUGUUGGUGGGGUAGUGGCUUACCAAGGCUUUGACGGGUAGCCGGCCUGAGAGGGUGACCGGCCACAUUGGGACUGAGAUACGGCCCAGACUCCUACGGGAGGCAGCAGUGGGGAAUAUUGCACAAUGGGCGGAAGCCUGAUGCAGCAACGCCGCGUGCGGGAUGACGGCCUUCGGGUUGUAAACCGCUUUCGCCUGUGACGAAGCGUGAGUGACGGUAAUGGGUAAAGAAGCACCGGCUAACUACGUG
RNAcentral lists this ribosomal RNA (468 nucleotides) under uncultured bacterium. Its description in RNAcentral is "partial 16S ribosomal RNA". It matches the Rfam family "Bacterial small subunit ribosomal RNA", at positions 28 to 507 of the family's 1533-position model. The record is from RNAcentral.